GAUCCUGGCUCAGGAUGAACGCUAGCUACAGGCUUAACACAUGCAAGUCGAGGGGCAGCAUUUUUCUAGCAAUAGAAGAGAUGGCGACCGGCGCACGGGUGAGUAACACGUAUCCAACCUACCGAUAACUCCGGAAUAGCCUUUCGAAAGAAAGAUUAAUACCGGAUAGUAUACGAAUAUCGCAUGAUAUUUUUAUUAAAGAAUUUCGGUUAUCGAUGGGGAUGCGUUCCAUUAGUUUGUUGGCGGGUAACGG
This 253-nucleotide ribosomal RNA is filed under the name uncultured bacterium. RNAcentral's name for it is "partial 16S ribosomal RNA". It matches the Rfam family "Bacterial small subunit ribosomal RNA", at positions 15 to 263 of the family's 1533-position model. The record is from RNAcentral.